CGCGCGGAGGAACCGGGAGCGCCAGCUCAGUCACCCCACCGCCCCACCCCGCGCAUGCUCCCAAGAGCCCCAGACCACCCUUCUCAGGCUUCCCAGAUAUUUCAUCCCUUGCUUCUCCUGGCCCACCACUCAGUCCCCCAACUCUAGGACGACAGAGGUUAGGGAUAAGGGGAAUGAGACACCCGCCUUGGCUGCAGCAUUCAAAGUAAAAACUCCUUGAAGAAAAGAUCCUUCAAUUUGGCUUUUUGUGAGAUGGAAACGAUUACACUUUGUCCUGCAAACUUCCCCCCUUUAAAGGUGAAGGUUUGUUAGGUUAGUUAGGCUGUGAGAAAACUGUGCAUUCUUAGCAAUCAAAGGCCAGACAUCUGGGGGUACAGGUGGGAGGAAGACUAGGAUAAGAGACUCCAGAUGGGGACAGAAUUAAAAGAAAAAAAAAUUAAAUAA
RNAcentral lists this small RNA (444 nucleotides) under Pongo abelii (Sumatran orangutan). Its description in RNAcentral is "processed transcript". The record is from RNAcentral. Lineage: Eukaryota; Metazoa; Chordata; Mammalia; Primates; Hominidae.